This 1035-nucleotide ribosomal RNA is filed under the name Triticum aestivum (bread wheat). Its description in RNAcentral is "partial small subunit ribosomal RNA". Lineage: Eukaryota; Viridiplantae; Streptophyta; Magnoliopsida; Poales; Poaceae. The record is from RNAcentral.
AUGGAAACCGCCGCGGCGCCCCGCGUCCAGGCGCUCGCCGACGCCGGCGUGCCCCACCUCCCGGCGCAGUACAUCCAGCCGCCCGACCUCCGCGCGGGCCCCUCCCCCGCCGCCUCCCUCUCCGUCCCCGUCCUGGACCUCUCGGACGCCGCCGCCGCAACAACCCACGCGGUCGGCCGCGCGUGCGCCGAGUGGGGCGCCUUCCACGUCGUCAACCACGGGGCCCCGGCGGGGCUGCUCGACGCGAUGCGGGCCGCCGGGCUGGCCUUCUUCCGCGCCCCCAUGGCGGAGAAGCUCCGGUUCGGCUGCGACCCGGCCAGGGGCGCCGCCGCCGAGGGGUACGGCAGCCGCAUGCUCGCCAAAGACGACUCCGUGCUCGACUGGCGCGACUACUUCGACCACCACACCCUCCCCGAGUCCCGCCGCGACCCCGCCCGGUGGCCCGACUUCGUCCCAGGAUACAGGGACACUGUUGUAAAAUACAGUGACAGCAUGAAAGUCCUUGCCCAAAGAUUGCUGUGCAUCAUCUCUGAAAGUCUGAACUUGCCACCCUCCUACCUGCAAGAAGCGGUGGGGGAAGCUUAUCAGAACAUCACCGUUAGCUACUAUUCCCCUUGUCCACAGCCAGAUCUUGCUCUCGGAUUGCAAUCUCAUUCUGACUUUGGCGCAAUAACACUUCUAAUACAAGAUGAUGUGGGUGGGCUCGAGGUAUUUAAGGAUGGGAUGUGGAUACCUGUGCAUCCUGUGCCUGGUGCAAUCCUUGUAAUUCUGUCUGACCAGACAGAGAUCAUAACCAACGGAAGAUACAAGAGCGCCGUGCAUCGAGCUGUGGUCAAUGCCGACCGUGCCCGCUUGUCAGUGGCGACGUUCUACGAUCCACCUAAAUCUCAGAAAAUAUGUACUGCCCCCCAGCUCGUGAGCAAGGACCAUCCGCAGAAGUAUCGGGAUGUGGUUUACGGCGACUAUGUCUCAUCCUGGUACAGCAAAGGUCCAGAGGGCAAGCGCAAUAUCGACGCCCUCCUGAUGGAGCAAUAG